RNAcentral lists this long non-coding RNA (1334 nucleotides) under Chinchilla lanigera (long-tailed chinchilla). Its description in RNAcentral is "lncRNA (ENSCLAG00000024642.1)". Lineage: Eukaryota; Metazoa; Chordata; Mammalia; Rodentia; Chinchillidae. The record is from RNAcentral.
UGUGCUUGUGGUAUGCGCAGGUACCCCUCCACAACACGAGACCAGCGCUGAAUCUCACGAAAACGAGAUCCCCUUAAAUGAAUAAGAUCAGAAAAAAGGACUACUUUCUACAGUUUCAAAUCAUUUAAAUUACAUAAUAGUAGGAAAUUUUCUUAAAGCCAGGUAGAUAAAUAUACAUCCUCGCGUGCGCUUCGGAGUGUCUCCGGUGCUGAGUGUCUCUGUGGUCUGUAAUUAUCGCGGAACGCAGGCCAGCCAAGGCUGGACACACUUUCCCCUCGGGGUCCUCGGUCUGGUACACCUGACUCCAGCCUGCUGUCUGAAGGUGGGACCCCAGGGGAGCGCCCCGGGCCCUGGGGGUGGGGAGAGGGGCCGCGGGAGGUGGGUGCGGUGCGGCAUUUCAGGCUCCGCUCUGCACUCCACAGCGGGUCGCUACGCCAGAGAGGGACAAAGGGUAUUCUGCUGGGGUAAAAGAGUGGGACGCGCGGGGAGAGGGAGGCAAUGCUGACUGAGACACGGGAUAAAAAUACAUGAAACCGUUUAGCCCAGAACUGCAUAAUUUCAGCUUUAUCAGCUUUGCUAAAAGUGAUAUUUAUAGUCCCCUUGCAACAUAAGGGAAAAUGAAAGCGGGCCCUGUUUCUGCCGCCCCCCUCCCGUCCCCACCUGAUGGACAGGCGUGGCCUUCGGACUGCCCGGAGCUCCCGCCACCCACCCGCCGGCGGGGCGCCUCCGAUCCAGCUCCCCGUUCCUUCCCCAGGCCCUUCUCCAGCCCCUGUUUGCGAGGAGAAGCCAAGCAGAGGGAUACUGCGCAGGAGCCCAGGAGUACUGAAUAUGCAGAGCUGAGUACGAGUGAGUUCCAAACGAAACCUCAGGUGCGACCUUGGGCAAACCAGUUCUGAGCUUCAUUCAGUUCCUUCACCUGUAGAACAGGUGUCAUGACAGCUGUCCAAUCCACAGAUCAUCACGGAUGUCAGCGCAGAGAGUGGGAAUGCGCUUUGUAAAUUUCAAAGCGAUAAACAGAAAUGGCCUGGAGCACCGUAACAAACAUAUAUACAUCUUACGUUUCACUAUUUACAAAACAGUGAGUUCAUAUGCCAGUUCGAAACAUUCUAGAUCCUUAGAUGCUUUCUCUUACAGUUUGUUUAGAACGGCAUCUUUCAAAUGGGCCUUUGCCUCACCCCCCUGCAUAAGCAUGUGCCCCAAAUAUAUGAUUUCAAAUCCUGAAUUUUAAAAAGCUCCUGUAAUACACACCAGACAAAUAGAUUGCCUUUUCCAUGCUUUUUCCCGGGGGCAAAUUUUAAGUUCUUGUCAUGUUUCAGUUCUAGCUGCAAUAUUCA